CAGCAGCCACGGGAAUACGAAGGGGGCUAGCGUUGCUCGGAAUGACUGGGCGUAAAGGGCGCGUAGGCGGCGAUCAAAGUCAGGCGUGAAAUUCCUGGGCUCAACCUGGGGGCUGCGUUUGAUACUUGAUUGCUAGAGUGGGGAAGAGGGUCGUGGAAUUCCCAGUGUAGAGGUGAAAUUCGUAGAUAUUGGGAAGAACACCGGUGGCGAAGGCGGCGACCUGGUCCUUGACUGACGCUGAGGCGCGAAGGCGUGGGGAGCAAACAGGAUUAGAUACCCCCGUAGUCCCUGUCUCUUAUAC
This 301-nucleotide ribosomal RNA is filed under the name uncultured bacterium. Its description in RNAcentral is "partial 16S ribosomal RNA". It matches the Rfam family "Bacterial small subunit ribosomal RNA", at positions 509 to 807 of the family's 1533-position model. The record is from RNAcentral.